CACAUGACUUAUUACACGUUUAACAUGAAUGAUAGGUUUAUAUCAAUGUGCUCGUUAUUGCUCAUUCACAGGGAUCUGGAAUCUACGACUAAUAAUAAACACAGACAGUUAAAUUCACUGGAACAAGACAGGAUAAAAUCCUGAUGAAUAAUCCUGAUAAAAUUUGCUCCCAGACUUUUGAAUUCAAAUUUUCGGUGUUGGUCUGCCCUCAUGUUUAAUUUUCAGUCUCUUCUCGUAAGUGUGAGCACCAGAAGACUAAGCGAGCUGCUAGCAGAAGAAGGAAGUGACUGCUAGCUAGAUUAAUAAACAACAAAUUUCAGAAAUGAAAGACAAAAAGCCAGAACAGCUUGUAGUUACACUGGAAAAUGUAUGUAUUGUGAGGAAUUAGCCCGGGGAAGGGCGGCGCACAGACCCACAGGAGACCAAAGGAUGGUGGCAGACGGUGCUUUAUUGUGGCUAGGGUGAGGUGAACGUGUUAUAAAUGGAAGAGUGCGGGGGUUUGUGAAGGCGCGACGGCCGGCGGAGUCGACUCGUGGCGGAGGCGGGAUUCCCGAGGCGGGGCGGGGGUUUUCCCGGGCCGGCGUCCUCCGUGUGUGCGACUCUCACUAUCCGGCGGUCUCGUCCGCGCUUACGCCUCCUGGAGAGAGAGAGAGAGAGAGAGAGAGAGAGAGAGAGAGAGAGAAAUUAGCGUGGGGCGUGAGGUUACCGUCGUGAUCGGAGGUUGCGAAUCGCUGCAAACACGCACGGAGUCCGUUUUGACGCCACGAUAUUCUCUUCCCCUUCCCGGCCGGAAGCGCGCCCUUUUAUCCUCCUCCGUCGGCGCCUGAGUGGUGGGACUUCCCCGUUGGAUCCGCCAAUCGCUGGCCGGAGUCGCGUCAGUCCCGCCCUGCCGCGGCGGUCCUUCCGGCUGGCGGAAUGUUCGGCAGGAAGCUGCCCACGUCGUGCCGGUGCGGCAGUCGGAGAAGGAGCGUUUUCCCUCUUGUGUGCGCCGGAUCUCUGCCCGUCGCGACAUUCUGCGUGUUGGUCCAGGUGGUGUUGCCGUACCUAGUUGUCCAAGAUGCGUGCGCUACUCAGAUCAGGCAGCGACUCACAUCCAUGGGCCUUGCUGGGCCUCAUAUACGAUACAUCAGAUGUGCUGCUCCUGCAAGGACCGUGUUGCAGCAAGGCAAGAGUGAAAACUCAUCGUACUAGUUGAACACACCUAAGGUAAGGUCAACUAAGUUAAUGUUAAAAUUAUGUUUAUGUUGCUUAGUGUUAGCUUUUUUUUUCUUUUUUUUUUUUGCAAACCAACUUCAACCUACUGUGGCUAGUUUUAUUAAAUUAUUUUUUAAAAUUUUGGUCACAAAGCUGGUAAAUGCAGGCGACUUUAUGCAAAUGUGGAGUGACUUGGUGCAGAGACUACCAAUGGGAGUGAAGACAGGAGAGUGCACGUGAUAAGUAGAAGCUACCAGAAGGAGCGAGGACCUGAGGCUGAGACGCCCGGCUCUGGGAACAAGCAGCACCAAGCCAGCCACUUCACCCAGGAAGCACGGAGACCAUGGCCGAGGAGGCCAUAAGCUAAGCUAAGCUAAGCUAAUUGCACUUUUCCCACAGACAGAUGGCCUCAGUGGCAAAGAGCACACACUGCUUCUCCUCGAUCUCAUAGGAUGUGAUGCAUAUAUACACUGGUGAGUUUUAUAUAAGAUCCUCUUCCUCCAGAAGGUUCCAUUUUAGCAGCAAGAAAACUGAUUAAUUGUCAAAAGUGGAAUGUUAGUCGCACCACCCACUGACAAAUGUUACUAUGACAACUGGUAGCAGGAACACCUACUGGCGACUUCAUAGUACAGCGACUAUGAACGUAGCAUCAGAUAGAUAAGAAAGUUUGAGCAGCGUGUCUCAGCUAGGUUAGAGUUCAGAUGCUGGGAAGGUGGGAUUUACAAGGGAUUCAAGCCUCGAUAUUUUGUGAUAGAAAUAUGUGGACUUGGUGUAUGACUGCAGGUUGCCUUUUGCCUCAUAAAUGAAAUAGUGUAUAGUGAGUGUUGACAUUAUGAAAUUGACUAUUGUAACAAAAAAACAUAUAUUUUAAUACUCAUAUGAAAUAUACAGUAGGAAAAGAAUAAUGUGCACAACAGUUCAGAUAUUCCAAACUGUUGUUUAAUUGAUUUAGCCAUAAUUAUUCAACAGUCAACUCAACAAUUCCGGUAGUAGUAGUAGUAACCCUAACCCAGACAUCACAAUCAUCAUAUUCAUGUGUUCAUAGAUAUAGAACAAAGUGAAAGUAAAAAGUACAGAUGUUUAUUAUAAAACAACAACAAUCACAAAUCAACGCCGAUCAUCUCUGGACAACAGCAACUCAGUCAAUCAGUAGUCCCACCCCACCCCCAACUCCUACAGCCCACACUUCUAUUCAGAAACUGCCUUUACCUUCACACUCUUUGAAGGAAGAUCCACAUGUUGACAUGUUGUGUAUUUGUGUGUGUGUGUGUGUGUGUGUGUGUGUGUGUGUGUGUGUGUGUGUGUGUGUGUGUGUGUGUUUUAAUGCCUGUUCUGGAUUCCUGGAUGUGUAGCCAGAUAGUAAAAUCCAUCUUUUGGGAUCUGCUGUGGAGCUGCUAAGGGCAGAGAAAUACAGAGAAACAUCUGAUUACUAACUGAUAUACUGAAGUUAUUUUAUCAUUCUUAGAGAAGGCAAUCCUGUAAUUCUGCUCCUUUACUUCAAAUGCUGCAUAAAUGAGCAUUAGGCUCUGUUCUGGUAACAAAAGAAAUCUAAAGUAUUAUUUCACAUACAUGCUGCACAUUUUGGACUCUUAUAGACUGUUUUUAGUUUCAGCUGUUUGCCUAAAGUGUGCAGCCUGUCAAUUCUGAAAAAAACAACAACAUUAGUUUAUGAAGCUCACGUUCUCAUUCUGAGUCAUUUAUAUUUCUAAGCCACAUAAAUAAAUAAACUUUACAUUAAUAGUAAACUCACCUGGUUGAGGAGCUGAGGGAGUCUCGUAAAUUGACUCAUAAACAUGUAUCUCAUCCAAAGAUUCUGCUGAGACACAGAGAGUAGGGGUCACCACUAGGGGUCACUAUUCUUAUACACAACUAAUCCCCAUUCUUUUCAUUUCAGUGCAAAGUUUACAGUCAGUAAUGCAGUAAUUAUGUGAUUUGCUUUUAUAGUAUAAUAAUAAUAAUAAUAAGAAGAAGAAGAAGAAGAAGAAUGUUGUGGUCUGAUGAAAAGUUAAUGUUAACACCCCAGAGAUGAUUAUUUUCCAGAUCCCUGAGUGUUUUUUUUCCUCUUAUACCGCAGCAAUUUGCCAACAAUUACACUACAGUUCCUUUGAGACAUGUGAAGUCAGCCAACCACAACUUUUCUUUUUUUUUGACUUUUACUUACAUUUACAUUUAUUCACUAAGCAGACGCUUUUAUCCUAAGCGACUUACAAAUGAGAAAGAUACAAGCAAAGCGAUAUCAAGCAGAGAACAAUACAAGAAGUGCUACCAUACAAGAUCUAUUAAUUGAAUUCCAGAAGAAGCAAAGUGCAGAGUAGAGGUGUAAGUGCAUUUUUUUUAUUAUUAUUAUUAUAAUGAAUUUGUUAGGUGUUCAUAGAAGAGGUGGGUCUUUAGUUGUUUUUUGAAGAUGGUGAGAGAUUCUGCGGUCUGGAUUGAAUUUUUUAUUCAUUUAUCGAGUAAUCGAAGCAGAGCUGGGUGAAGUAUUCCAUAGCUAGCGCCCUCAAUACCACAAACUUGACGCUGAACCUCAUUAAAUGCGGCCCGGGCCCGGGCUGUCUUGGCUGUGUAGACAGGGGAAACGGAGAUGGUCACAUCCCUCACUUUAAUCCGCUGGAGCUCUCUCUCACGGCGUAAAAUAUCAACACAGCCACUGUGAUAGUGGAAUCUGCACACAAUAACUCGUGGUCGUUCACCAGGCUUGGGCUUCGGCUGAAGGGUCCGGUGGGACCGGUCCAGAACCGGCUCCUUCUCCAGACCACACGCUUCUUUUAACAAGGCCGCUACAGCAGCGGUUGUACAGGUGUCAGCGCCCUCUGGAACUCCCACUAUCCUAACGUUAUUGCGCCGUGACCUCGACUCCAAAUCCUCACACUUAUUCUCUAACUGAGUCACGGUCACAGUGAGAGACUCGACAGUAGUCUUCAUAUGAAUCAUGUCAUCGGUGCAACCGGAGAGCGUGUGCUCCAUUUCCCCAACAGUACCUUUCAGUGUUGAUAUGGUAGCCUCGGUAGCGACUUUAUCACUGGCCAGCUGUGUUUUCACGGCCUGCAGGUCAAGCUGGAUAGUAGACAGCGUACCCCCGAGAGUCUUCUGGAGCUUCUGGAGCUCCUUUUUAAAAAUAUCGGCGAUGUCCUUCCUCAGUAAAGCCAGCAGCUCAAGCCUGAGUGCGGCGAAGUCAGGGUCACCGCUCGGCGACGCGGAUUCAGAGAGAGAAGGGGACUCGCUCACGGCGUGCACACUUGGCCUCAGUCGUGUCUGAAUACUACCACAGGUUUUCGUGUUCUUUCCAGACAUUUUAACAUACCACAAAGUUAAAAUUACAAACAAGGAAACAGAGUAGAAUAAUUCAAAAUAUAUUGUAUGACCGAAAAGCGCUAAUUAAUUACAAUUACACGAAAUCAGCAGGAGCCUCCAACUUCGCGUCCUACUCCAUCGAAUUCCGAAUUCCCAUUCAACCACAACUUUUCAACCUGCGUCACAGAGCAACAUAACACAUUCAUAAUAAAUCUACCUUCUUCCACAUACAGAAGUCUAACAGACAGAUGAUUGUCUAAAUCAGGUGUGUCUAAUCUUAUUGGGAAAGGGCCGGUGUGGGUGCAGGUUUUCAUUCCAACCAAGCAGGAGCCACACCUGAGUCUACUGAAAGCCAAGAUCAACUGAUUAAACAGGUGAAGGUAAAUUGUAAGUCGCUUUGGAUAAAAGCAUCUGCUAAAUGAAUAAAUGUAAUGUAAAUGCAGAUGUAAAUCAGGUGUGGCUCCUGCUUGGUUGGAAUGAAAACCUGCACCACACUGGCCAAUUGCAGAUAAGAUUGGACACCCCUAGUCUAGUGUUACUGACUUACAGGGGAGAGACAGUAUGCCCCUCCUAUUUUGCUCUCUUGGCCAUAGAUAUCUGUGGCAUCAUUGGGACUUGAUCUCCAGACGAUAGGGUGAAGGCUUUUCUGCUGUGCCACUCAGGAACCUGACUGAUAAAGCUUUAAAAUGCUCCUUCUAAUAGGAACCCUUCAAAAACGAGGUUUCAUCUCCAGAUAAAACUUUGUGACAUUGUGUGUGAAGAUAAUGUUUUAAGUGAUUACCUUUUUCAGCUGAAUCGUGCUGUACUUUGGCGGUGCUACCUGAAUGAAGAGGUAAUAAUAAGAGUUAAACGGGUUGCGGAUUCUGUCAGGCUUUAAUGCAGAGGAACAACACUACAUAUGAAAAAAAUUAACAUGUUUUACAUUAAGUGUCACAUAUUCCUCGUAAUGAAGGUUAGGAUGGAUGCAAAUGCAGGUAAGAGUUUAUUAGAGAGAGGCAGGUAGAUAAAUCCAAAUCAUAAGACAAUAGCGUGGUCGAAAUAACAGGUAAUGGGUCAGGCGAUCUACAAACAGGCAUAAACUGGGCAAGGCUAGAAUCAAGAACAAUAAACGAGAAACAAGGUCAAUGAACAUGAUGCAAAAUGAGAAACAAGGAACAACCGCUUGGUAUGGUGAUAACACUCAAUACUUCACAAAGUCAUGGUGUUAAAAAAGUUUCUUUUAUAGCGUGAAGUGAGUGAGUGUGAGAUGGGCAACAGGUGUGUGUGAUUAGAAUUCCGGAGAAGAUGAACGUGGGGAGGGGGAGUGUAGUCCAUGGCGGCCACGUUUUUAGGCCACAGUGCAGGAUGGGAAAUGUAAUCACUGGUUUGCUGUGAUAUGACAUUAAGAUUCAUUUAACUGACAGUGUUUACUGCAUGAAUAAAUGAUAAACUUCAGCAUUUAUAAAGUAUAAAGUUAAUAAGACAAAAGAUGUCCUGAGGAUGUCUGAAAACUUAAAAUUACAGCUUUACCUCUGACUGUUGCAAAGCACUGACACUGGAGACUCCUUCCAUUCAUGUUACAUGAACAUCUCCUUGUCACCAUAUCAACAAUUACAUACAUUUUUUAAUUUGUUUGUGUGAAGCUGUGCACAAAGUGCAUUAAUAUAAACCUACUCUACUGUCAGAGCUGUUGUUCUAGAAAAUUGCACAAUCACUAAUGUCAAAUAAACAGUGAGCAGUAUAUCUAACAAAACAAAUGAUCCAAGAGAUAAGGACAGGCCAAGCAGGUUAGUGGGUUAGCAUUCUAGCUCAGUAGUGAAGAUAAUAAAACUUUACUGUAUAUAAUUUAAAUGAAAUGUUACCUUUCCUUUUGGAGAAACACCUCCACAGAACCAGAAGUGACACUAAAACAAGCGCACAACCCCCGGCUACUAAAGCUGUUACCGUCAACCAAUCUGAAAACCAAAUCACAUGAUCACCUCAGAUGUGUUUACCAAAAGAUAAACAACUAUUUAAAAAUAAAAAUAAAACAUCUCUGUAGUUACCUGUUCAUAUACUCUCAGAUAGUGGUGCUUGAAAGUUUGGAAAUUAGAGUCAGGUGUUUUCAAUCAAUGAAAUGAUUGGUAUAAUUAGGUGUGAGUGAGCAUCCUGUUUUAUUUAAAGAACAGCGAUUAAUCAGAGUCUGAUCUUCACAACAUGUGUUUGUAGAAGUGCAUCAUGGCAUGAACAAAGGAGAUUUCUGAGGACCUCAGAUAAAGAGAUGUUGAUGCUCAUCAGGCUGGAAAAGUUUACAAAACAAUCUAUUAAGAGUAUGGACUCCACCAACCCACAGUCAUAUUGGGUAUAAAUGGAGGAAAUUCAACACCAUUGUUCACCUCCCCAGGAGUGGAGACCAACAAAGAUCACUCCAAGAACAAGACGUGUAAUAGUCCACGAGGUCACAAAGGAACCCAGGGUAACUUCCAAGCAACUAAAGUCCUCUCUCACACUGGCUAAUGUUAAUGUUCAUGAGUCCACCAUCAGGAGAACACUGAAGAACAAUGGUGUGCAUGGCAGGACUACAAGGUGGAAGUCACCGCUCUCCAAAAAGAACAUUGCUCUCCUCCUGCAGUUUGAUAAAGAUCAUGUGGACGAGCCAGAAGUGUAAUGGAAAAAUGUUUUGUGGAUGGAGGAGACCAAAAUAUAAUUUUUUGGUUUAAAUGAGAAGUGUUAUGUUUGGAUAAAGGAAAACGCUGCAUUCCAGCAUAAGAACCUUCUCCCAUCGGUGAAACAUGGUGGUGGUAGUGUCAGGGUUUGGACCUCUUUUGCCUAAUCAGGUCCACGACGACUCGGCAUCACUGAUGGAACAAUGAGUUCUGAAUUAUAUCAGUGAAAUUUAAAGGAAAAUGUCAGGACAUCUGUCUGUGAACUGAAUCUGAAGAGAAAGUGGGUCAUGCAGCAAGACAAUGAGCCUAAGAACACGAGUCGUUCUACCAGAGAACGCUUAAAGAAGAAUAAAGUUAAUGUUUUGGAACGGCCGAGUCAAAGCCCUGACCUCAAUCCAGUAGAGAUGUUGUGGAAGAACCUGAAGCGAGCAGUUCAUGUGAGGAAACCCACCAACACCCCAGAGCUGAAGCUGUUCUGUACUGAGGAACGGGAUAAAACUCCUCCGAGACGACGUGCAGAUGAUCAACACUUACCCCAAACGUUUAUCUGCAGUUAUCACUGCACAAGGGGUCACACCACAUACUGAAAGCAAAGGAGCACAUACUUUCACCCCUCACAGAUCUGUAAUACUGGAUCAAUUUCCUCAGUAAAUAAAUGACCAAGUAUAAUAUUUUUGUCUCAUUUGUUUAACUGGGUUCUCUUUAUCUACCUUUAGGAAUCUGCUGAUGUUUUAGGUUAAUGCGGAAAUGUAUAAAAUUCGAAACACAAACUUUCAAGCACCACCGUAAAUAAUAAUAUGUUAACAAUAAAAUAUAUAAUUGAUUAAUUAUUCAUUUUCAGAAUUGUUAAUUAUUUGUAAUUAUGUUAAUAAUAAUAGAAGAAUACUAAAUAAUAUGAUCAUAGUACUAAUUUAUACUUAUAACAGGAAGCAGUAGAAGAAAUUAAAAAUAAUGAAAAAUAAAUUAUAUAUAAAAUAAAACUCUAAAAUAAUAAUAAUUGUGUGGUGGAGUUUUAAUGAAAGCAAUGGUCAGACCACUUACCCCCCGUUUUCAUGAUUUUCAGAGUCUUUGAUGUCACACUGACCUCCACUGCGUUCUCAUUACAGUAAUAUCGACCAGAGUCUGAGAACGAGACAUUAAAUAUACUCAGAAUCAGACGUCUUCCUGAGCUGUAACGUCUGUCUGGAUCAGUGAUGUGUUUGAUAACCGUGUCCUUGUAGACGCUGAGAAUCUUCUCCCUUUUUCCACCCACAUCUCUGCUCCAGGUCACGUUACCGUUAGUCUCUCCACAUUUAAGCAUACAGAUGUUUUUCUCUGGACAAAAUGUUUCUGUCAGUCAGAGUGCAGGAGAAAAUACAGUGUCAGUAAACAGUCGAAGUCAAGCUGCCUCAGUAAAACUUCCUCGUUCUGUAAAACUAGUUUGCUCUUAGCUAUGUUUAUUCACUAAAUUAACCAGUGUAGAUGGUGAUAGACGUCUGUUUUGAGGGACUGUCACACCUUCCUUUAUGUGCUGCCUUCAUGUGAAUAAUUCCAACCAAAAAAGUAGAACUGGUUAUGACUCAAAGGCCUGCUGAUAUAAACCACCACCACCAACGUGCUUCUUUCCUACAGAUGUUUAAACAUCUGUCUAGUCAGAGGUGGGUAGUAACGCACUACAUUUGCUUCAUUACAUUUACUUGGGUACAUUUUUUAAAUUUAAUUUUAAGAGUGGGUUUAACUGGCCAUACUUAUACUCUUACCCAAGUUCAUUUUAAUCACAGAAAUGUACUUUUACUGCUCUACAUUCGGUGGCGUUCCUUCGUCACUGUGCAAUGUUAACCAAUUAGUUUAGAUGACAAACGAGUUCACGAGUCUCGCAAUACGCUACAGUGAUCUGAAUGUGAACGCAACAACUGCUCAAUUACCACGACGGAAACAGGACACACGCACUCUCUCUAUCUCUGUCCCUCUCUCUCCCCCUCCCUCUCUAUCUCUCUAUCGCUCUCUUUCUCCCUCUAUCUCUCUGUCUCUCUCUCUCUAUCUCUCUGUCACUCUCUCUCUCUCUCUCUCUCUCUCUCUCUCUGUCUCUCUCUCUCUAUCUCUCUCUCCCUCUAUCUUCUCUCUCUCUGCCCUUCUAUCUCUCACUCUACACACACUUUCUGUUCUGUUCCAUAGUCUGUUCUUCUGGUCUCGUUCUCUUGUUUUAAUGCAGAUGCUCACAAGUUUGUGUUAUUACCAUUUUGUGAAAAUAAAGAAAAAAAAAGUCACCUGUUGGGAAAAUGUUUGAUUUCUGUGUUGAAAAUGACAGGAUGUGUUAUUGUACCCAUCACAGGACUGGGAUACGCUGCUUCAUCUUGAACCCAGGUUUUAUAGCAUAUAAACAGAACAGAAAACCUUUCCAGGAGAGACGUGACUUACAGUUCUCCAUGUGGCCUGAGAUUCAGGAUUUUCCUUCAUUUAAUCUUACUCUUACUCAAGUCAUUAUUCACAUUAUUACUUUACUCUUACUUGAGUAGGCGUAAUUAUUUUUAAAAGUAGCUUUACUACUUAUAGUAAAACAAGUAACUUCGAGUAAAAGUUUUGGCUACUCUACCCACCUCAUCUAUUUGCGUAUACAGUAUCAAUACAUCAAUACGUUUACCGUCACAAACCACAUCCUAAAUGAAGAGGAAGAAGAAACCUCUCUGUGGUUUGAUUUCCGUCAUUACAUUUUAAUUUAAUCCAUAUAUAAGACGUUAUUUCUAAUCUGUACAUACUGUAUUUUUUCAUCAGUGGUAGAAAGAUCAGGAAUAAAAAGCUCCUUUUGCAUAAUGUGCCUAAUAUUGACUGUAUAUAGUUGGAAUGUGUUGAUAGGAGAAAUCAAAAGUUUGAGAUCUCCUGCUGUAGAGCAUUUAUGGAUCAUUGUAAUAUUGUACACAAUACCUUAACAGGUGUGGUACUGUGCAGUGCUGCUAUACUGGAAGGGUUUAGGGUUUAUAUAUAUAUAUAGGAUGUGGAAGCACUCACCGCUGUUGGCCGUGUGUACGCUCACACACAGCAGGAGACAGAUGAACCCGGUAUUCUCCAUCACGACUGAAUGUAAGAGUUAAAGAUGAAACACAGCGAACUUUACACCCUGUGAACAGACUGAAGCUCCGAGGUGCAGUGUGUGAUGAGCAGUGUGAGGAAGUGAGAUGAGGCUGAGGAAGUGAUGUAAUGUUAUGUAUCCCUGAUUGUGGGUGUGUGUUUGUGUGUGUGUGUGUGUGUGUGUGUGUGUGUGUGUGUGACUUUGUUUACUUGUGGGCAUGACCUCAAAAAGACAACAAAAGGAGCACAACUAAUCAUCUCAGAAAUGUGUGUUUCUCUAAUAUUUGUGAUUAUGGUAAAGGUCUCGGGGGAUUUUAAGUGAACUUAAACACAUUUAAGAUAAGUGUAAUGAUAGGCGUGUGAGAAUGUGUGAUAAUAAAGAGAAGUGAUAGAAAAGGCAUCAUAUUUGAAUCAGGAAGAAUUUGGUCACUUUAUGUAUUACAGAAACACAAAUGAACACAAUGUAAACAUGCUCUCAAUAUGUUUUUAUUUUUAUACAUUAAAUCACAAACAUAACAGAAAUACAUUAUGUGAUCUCCUCACCACCUAUAUGUUUUUCUUCCACAAACUGUUCCACAGUUGUAUAGAACGUCUCUGUACGCUGUAGCAUUACAGUUUCCCUUCACUGGAACUAAGAGGCCCAAACACUGUUCCAGCAUGACAGACAGUGCACGAAGCGAGCUCCAUGAAGACGUGGUGUGUGACGGUUGGAAGAAGGUGCAAGAACUCGAGUGUCCUGUACAGAGCCCUGACCUCAACCCCACUGAACACCUUUAGGGUGAACUGGAACUGGAGCCUCCUCACAUCGACAUCAGCACCUGACCUCAACCUUAUUAAUGCUCUUGUUACUUGAAUGAUCAUUAAUCCCCACAGCUACGAUACAAAAUUUAGUGGAAAGCCUUCCCAGAAGAUUGGAGGAGGUUGUUAUAACAGCAAUGGUGGAAUAAAUCUGGAAAGGGAUGGUCAACAAACACAAUUCAACCUGCCGUGAACUACCUAACUGGUAAGUCAGAUAUGGCUAUGUGCAGCACUGGGGCUUCUCAGGGGACUGUACUGGCUCCAUUCCUGUUCAAUCCUCCAUUCAGAUUUUAGGUAUAACACAGAGUCAUGUCAUGUGCAGAAGUACAUGCAUCGGAGGUGGGCAGGGGGAUGAGUAUAUGGCCUUGGUGGAGAACUUUGCUGAGUGGUGCAAACUGCAGCUGAACAUUGGAGGUAGUGGACACAUAUAAGUACCUGGACCUGCAAUAAAUUACUGUGCUUUUUUAUUGUAUUUAUGGUUAUCUGUGAAUGUUUGUCUUUUACCACUACUGUAAUUUUGCAAUUUCCAUCAGGAUUAAUAAAGUUUCUUUCUUUCUUUCUUUCUUUCUUUCUUUCUUUCUUUCUUUCUUUCUUUCUAUCUAUGUGUCACGUAAUUAAAAGUAAUGGAGGUUAGGACAGAUGCAAGUGCAGAUAAGAGCUUUUAAUAAAGAGAGGCAGGCAGACAAAUCCAAAUCAUGAGACAAUAGCAUGGUCAAAUAACAGGCAAUGGGUCAAGCAAUUGACAAAACAGGAAUCAUGAAUGAGGGUGAGAACAAGAUCAAACAAUAACACAUGAAGCAAGAAACAAACGCCUGGUAUACGGAAACUCACCUAAUACUCGCUAAGUACAAAGGGACACGAGGGGUUUAAGUACUAAACAUAAUCGGGGUGAAACACAAAACAGCUGAGACUAAUGAUGACACAUGCGGGAAACAAACAGUGACAAUACAGGGGCAGAGACAGGGCCAAAAACCAUAACAAAUGCACGUGUUGAAGGUAAAUUAAGUCAGUGUCACUGAAAACGAAGAUGUUAGAGUGAAACAUAGAAUGUCAAUUGUGGUGUUUAAGGACAGUGAGGAGAGGAGGCUAUCAGAGGGAAGUGAGGUUGUGACAAUGGAAGAGAAUUGUGAGGGGGGAAAGGGAGCGAAGAUUGCCACAAAAGGAGAUAGAGAUAGAGGUUGAAGACUGUGAGGGGGUGAGGGGAGAGAAAUAGAAAACUGGAUAAAGAAAUGGUAAGAGGUGUGGAGAGGAGUAACAAGUAAUAAUUUUGUGUGAGUUACAUGUGAGGAUGAGGUCAAGCUAGUUGCCGGCUUUGUGAGUUGCUGGGGUGGCCAACUGCUUGAGGUCAAACGUGGGAAGGAGCGCAAGAAAAAACAUUCGUUUAUGAAGUUCACGUUCUCAUUCUGAGUAAUUUAUAUUUAUAAGCCACAUAAAUAAACUCUAUAUUAACAGUAAUUUCACCUGGUCGAGGAGCUGAUGGAGUCUCGUUGAUGUAUACCGAUGUGUACAGAUCCGAAGAUCCUGCUGAGACACAGAGAGUAGGGGUCACUACUAGGGGUCACUAUUCUUAUCCACAACUAAUCCCCAUUCUUUCAUAUAAAAUGUUUCAGGAUCAAAGUACAAAGUUUUUAGUUAUUGAUGUGGUUUGCUUUUAUAAUGUUUGCUUUAUUUAAUGUUGUGGAAAAUGUUAUUUUCCCGAUCCCUGAGUGUUUUUUUCCUGUUAUACCACUGCAAUUUGUCAACGAUUACACUACAGGUCCUUUGAGACAUGUGAAGUCAGUCAUAGCACAACUUUUCAAUCUGCGUCACAAGGCAGCGUAACACACUCAGAGGAAAUCUACCGUCUUCCACAUAGGGUUACUGUGACUUAUAGGGGAGAGACAGCAUUGGUCACAGAUAUCUGUGGCAUCGUUGGGACUCGAUCUCCAGACGUAAGGGUGAAGGCUUUUCUGCUGUGCCACUCAGGAGCCUGACUGAUAAUUUUCAGGUCAAGUCAUAGCACAGAUUCCAGAUCCCAGCAUGCACUGCAGCCUACAGACAUGUGGGACUCCACUUCUCCACUAUCCUCUGACAUCCUGUUUGUAGAUCACCUGACCUUAGCCUGUCCCUGUUUUUGAGAACUGUCUUUAAGCACUAUAUUUGGAUUAUUUGCCUGGACUGUAAUUAUACUGCCUUAACUACAUCUGCAUCUGUCUCCACUUUCAAUAAGUGACAAUAAAGCUUUACAAUGCUCCUUCUAAUAGGAACCCUUCAAAUACAGAUUUAAUCUCCAGAUAAAACCUUCUGACAUUGUGUGUGAAGAUAAUGUUUUAAGUGAUUACCUUUUUCAGCUGAAUCGUGGUGUACUUUGGCGGUGCUACCUGAAUGUAGAGGUAAUAAUAAGAGUUAAACGGGUUGCGGAUUCUGUCAGUUAAUAAGACAAAAAAAACCCCACAGAUUGUCAUGUUACUGAGAAACCACAAAGUGUAAACUCUUCAGUCCUGAAGAUGCCAGAAAACUUAAAAUAACAGCUUCACCUCAGACUGUUACAAAGCGCUGACACUAGAGACUCCUUCCUUACAUGUUACAUAAACCUCCUUACAGAAAACAUAUCAAUAUAUCAACAAUUACACACAUUUUCUAAUCUGAUACUGUUACUUUUCUAUACUUUUUUAACUGUUACUAUAAAAACAAUAGCAUAUUAGAGAGAGAGCAUUAAUAUAAAUCUGUGAUAUAAACCUGCAGCUGCACUACUGUCAGAGCUGAGAACUGCACAAUCACUAAUGUAAAAUAAACAGUGAGCAGUAUACAGUGCAUCUGGAAAGUAAAGUGAAGCGCUGUGAAUACUUUCCGGAUGCACUGUAUCUAACAAAAUAAACAGUGAGCAGUAUAUCUAACAAAACACAUGAUCCAAGAGAUAAGGACAGGCCAAGCAGGUUAGUGGGUUAGCAUUCUAGCUCAGUAGUGAAGAUAAUAAAACUUUACUGUAUAUAAUUUAAAUGAAAUGUUACCUUUCCUUUUGGAGAAACACCUCCACAGAACCAGAAGUGACACUAAAACAAGCGCACAACCCCCGGCUACUAAAGCUGUUACCGUCAACCAAUCUGAAAACCAAAU
Ictalurus punctatus (channel catfish) is the source of this 14048-nucleotide long non-coding RNA. Lineage: Eukaryota; Metazoa; Chordata; Actinopteri; Siluriformes; Ictaluridae. The record is from Ensembl.